This 443-nucleotide long non-coding RNA is filed under the name Sorghum bicolor (sorghum). RNAcentral describes it as "long non-coding RNA (SBIC_LNC017181)". The record is from RNAcentral. Lineage: Eukaryota; Viridiplantae; Streptophyta; Magnoliopsida; Poales; Poaceae.
UGCUUUUUUUCCACACCGGUAAAACAAAUUUUCAUUACCAAGGCAACAAUAUUACAAAAUCCAUAUUUAAACUAAACAAAAACAUCAAACUAGCAAAUCAGACAUAUGAUCACUGAGGGAACACAUGCCUAAAACAACCCAAAAACCUCAUCCAGCCAAGGACAAGACACGCCGUCCUAACAAAGCAAUGAACACGGCAACAAAACAGCCACGGAACAGUAUCUGACCACGACAAAAAGCCUACCCGACAACAGGAGUUUCUAUCCAGCUAACUGAUGCUCUUCCUAGCCGUUAAAAGAAUCUUCUAUCUCGAGAACGGCACAAUCUGAUGCUCAUCAUGUCCACGUGCCUGUAAGUCAUGAUUGUGGAAAUAGAGCGUCGUAGAUUUCACCACCAUAGCACCUUGAAUCACCUACUCUUUGAGGCCCUCCUUGAGUAGACCU